Microtus oregoni (creeping vole) is the source of this 544-nucleotide long non-coding RNA. RefSeq lists it as uncharacterized. The transcript is spliced from 3 exons. The record is from RefSeq and is a predicted model, not a curated record. NCBI's taxonomy places the organism in Eukaryota, Metazoa, Chordata, Mammalia, Rodentia, Cricetidae.
CCUAGAGCGCGAAAGCGUCCAGUGGAGACUUGAGCUCUGGGCCCUCUGGCCGAGGCUCUGCGUGUGAGGGGCUGCGCUGAGAGGGAGGAUGGACGAGGCCACCUCCCGCGCCCGGGGGAGUGCGGGUCCCUCCAGCUCGGAGCUUUGGAGCUUCGGAGCUUUGGCUGCAGCAUUCUCCCAGCUUGGCCUUCUGUGUACAAUCCGGGUCUUCCCCAAGGCUGCUGGGGACCCUGGUUUCCACACCAUCAUCAAGUUUUACUGGGCGAGGGACGCACAGAGAGCACCAAAGGCAUGACCGGAAGCCUCCUCUUCAGGCGUGGCUUGUGAAGGACCCCAGCACUUCUCGGGAGUCGAACCCAGAGCCUGCGGAACUUGGUGUUUCACAUCAGCAUCUGACCAACAAGCUGAUACCACCUGGGAAGCAGCCAGAGAACAUUUUAAUGCUAAAUGGGGAUCAAAUUCAGGCUCCCAUUCUGCAUUCACAGUUCAAAAGUACUGCCAGUCUAGCUGAGGCUGCAGAUCAUCAGUUGGAGGCAAUACUUGU